RNAcentral lists this ribosomal RNA (254 nucleotides) under uncultured prokaryote. RNAcentral's name for it is "partial 16S ribosomal RNA". It matches the Rfam family "Bacterial small subunit ribosomal RNA", at positions 525 to 777 of the family's 1533-position model. The record is from RNAcentral.
ACGGGGGGGGCAAGCGUUGUUCGGAAUUACUGGGCGUAAAGGGCGCGUAGGCGGCCACUGCAAGUCAGUUGUGAAAUCUCCGGGCUUAACUCGGAACGGUCAAUUGAUACUGCAGGGCUAGAGUGCAGAAGGGGCAACUGGAAUUCUCGGUGUAGCGGUGAAAUGCGUAGAUAUCGAGAGGAACACCUGCGGCGAAGGCGGGUUGCUGGGCUGACACUGACGCUGCAGCGCGAAAGCCAGGGGAGCGAACGGGA